This is a non-coding RNA of Misgurnus anguillicaudatus (oriental weatherfish), 370 nucleotides long. Lineage: Eukaryota; Metazoa; Chordata; Actinopteri; Cypriniformes; Cobitidae. The record is from RefSeq and is a predicted model, not a curated record.
UUUUUUUGGGCGCCAAAAUGAAGACUAAGCACAGCAGUCACUGCCAGUCAGUCAGAAGAACUCUCUCAGACGGACACCACGUUAUUAAAGUCUAUCAUCCUUGCAUGCGCUACACACUCAAAAGCAUUGAUAAAUGCUGAAUUUAAAAGAAUCACUACUGUCUAAUGUUCCUGCGUGUCACCUGGACCUCCAAUCCAAAAACCUGAUGAAACUCUUCUAUCAGAAAGGAUGACAGCUAGCAAAAAGACUUCAAACAAUUAAUGAUCAAAUGACAGAAGGCAUGGAUGAAGUCAGCAUCAGUGUGGUCAUUUGAAGACACCAAUGUUGGGAUUUGUGCUCUCAAACAACAUGCUUCUUGUGAUGAAGAAGA